CCUACGGGUGGCAGCAGUGGGGAAUAUUGCACAAUGGGGGAAACCCUGAUGCAGCGACGCCGCGUGAGUGAAGAAGUAUCUCGGUAUGUAAAGCUCUAUCAGCAGGGAAGAAAGUGACGGUACCUUAGGAAUAAGCCUCGGCUAACUACGUGCCAGCAGCCGCGGUAAUACGUAGGAGGCAAGCGUUAUCCGGAAUGACUGGGCGUAAAGGGUGCGUAGGUGGUUCAGCAAGUUAGUAGCGUAAUUCCGGAGCUCAACUUCGGCACUACUACUAAAACUGUUGGACUUGAGUGCAGGAGGGGCAACUGGAAUUUCUAGUGUAGCGGUGGAAUGCGUAGAUAUUAGGAAGAACACCGGUGGCGAAGGCGAGUUGCUGGACUGUAACUGACACUGAGGCACGAAAGCGUGGGGAGCAAACAGGAUUAGAUACCCGGGUAGUC
Molecule: ribosomal RNA, 440 nt
Filed under: uncultured bacterium
Lineage: Bacteria
Description: partial 16S ribosomal RNA
Rfam family: Bacterial small subunit ribosomal RNA
Source: RNAcentral